Molecule: transfer RNA, 31 nt
Filed under: Anas bahamensis bahamensis
Lineage: Eukaryota; Metazoa; Chordata; Aves; Anseriformes; Anatidae
Also listed under: 1 other name
Description: partial tRNA-Trp
Source: RNAcentral
AAACUUAGGAUAACGCCCCUUUAAACCGAAG